CUCUUUUUGGUUUAUAAGUGGGGUGAUUAGGUAGUCACACAGUUGAGUGGCAUGUGCCUCCCUCAGAUCUUAUUCUGACAUUGGCACAUUAUGCAUCUUGUGAAC
Nannospalax galili (Upper Galilee mountains blind mole rat) is the source of this 105-nucleotide small nucleolar RNA. RefSeq annotates it as small nucleolar RNA U13. Lineage: Eukaryota; Metazoa; Chordata; Mammalia; Rodentia; Spalacidae. The record is from RefSeq and is a predicted model, not a curated record. The transcript has a single exon.